This 585-nucleotide ribosomal RNA is filed under the name uncultured bacterium. RNAcentral's name for it is "bacterial SSU rRNA". It matches the Rfam family "Bacterial small subunit ribosomal RNA", at positions 796 to 1382 of the family's 1533-position model. The record is from RNAcentral.
CACGCCNUAAACGAUGUCGAUUAGCUGUUGGGCAGCAUGACUGCUUAGUAGCGAAGCUAACGCGUGAAAUCGACCGCCUGGGGAGUACGGUCGCAAGAUUAAAACUCAAAGGAAUUGACGGGGACCCGCACAAGCGGUGGAUGAUGUGGAUUAAUUCGAUGCAACGCGAAGAACCUUACCUGGUCUUGACAUGUACGGAACCCUCCAGAGACGGAGGAGUGCCUUCGGGAGCCGUAACACAGGUGCUGCAUGGCUGUCGUCAGCUCGUGUCGUGAGAUGUUGGGUUNNNNNNNNCAACGAGCGCAACCCUUGUCAUUAGUUGCCAUCAUUAAGUUGGGCACUCUAAUGAGACUGCCGGUGACAAGCCGGAGGAAGGUGGGGAUGACGUCAAGUCCUCAUGGCCCUUAUGACCAGGGCUUCACACGUCAUACAAUGGUCGGUACAGAGGGUAGCCAAGCCGCGAGGCGGAGCCAAUCUCACAAAACUGAUCGUAGUCCGGAUUGCACUCUGCAACUCGAGUGCAUGAAGUCGGAAUCGCUAGUAAUCGCAGGUCAGCAUACUGCGGUGAAUACGUUCCCGGGUCUU